Molecule: transfer RNA, 77 nt
Filed under: Streptomyces candidus
Lineage: Bacteria; Bacillati; Actinomycetota; Actinomycetes; Kitasatosporales; Streptomycetaceae
Description: tRNA-Thr
Source: RNAcentral
UUCGCCGGGGCCCCUGCGGCGGGCGGUCCGUAUCCGCCCGGCGGUCCGUUAGGCGGUCCGUAUCCGCCCGGCGGUCC